GAUGAACGCUGGCGGCGUGCCUAAUACAUGCAAGUCGAGCGAACAGACGAGGAUCUUGCUCCUCUUACGUUAGCGGCGGACGGGUGAGUAACACGUGGAUAACCUACCUAUAAGACUGGGAUCACUUCGGGAAACCGGAGCUAAUACCGGAUAAUAUAUUGAACCGCAUGGUUCAUUAGUGAAAGCCGGUUUAGCUGUCACUUAUAGAUGGAUCCGCGCCGCAUUAGCUAGUUGGUAAGGUAACGGCUUACCAAGGCGACGAUGCGUAGCCGACCUGAGAGGGUGAUCAGCCACACUGGAACUGAGACACGGUCCAGACUCCUACGGGAGGCAGCAGUAGGGAAUCUUCCGCAAUGGGCGAAAGCCUGACGGAGCAACGCCGCGUGAGUGAUGAAGGUCUUCGGAUCGUAAAACUCUGUUAUUAGGGAAGAACAAAUGUGUGAGUAACUAUGCACGUCUUGACGGUACCUAAUCAGAAAGCCACGGCUAACUACGUG
RNAcentral lists this ribosomal RNA (497 nucleotides) under uncultured bacterium. Its description in RNAcentral is "partial 16S ribosomal RNA". It matches the Rfam family "Bacterial small subunit ribosomal RNA", at positions 28 to 507 of the family's 1533-position model. The record is from RNAcentral.